ACUUGUGACUGAAGGCGGCUUAGGAGAGACCUAAGUGCUGGAGCUUAGGGAUCCGGCCUGGGGGUGGAGUUCAGGUCGUGGAAGGGUGGAGUCUCAUAGCCUGGCCUGUCUAAGGCCCCUGUCUAUGCUAUUCUCAUAGCCCUGGCCGAGAUCCUGAGCGUGAAGGACAUCAGUGGCCGGAAGCUUUUCUACGUCCAUUACAUUGACUUCAACAAACGUCUGGAUGAAUGGGUGACGCACGAGCGGCUGGACCUAAAGAAGAUCCAGUUCCCCAAGAAAGAGGCCAAGACCCCCACCAAGAACGGACUUCCUGGGUCCCGUCCCGGCUCUCCAGAGAGAGAGGUGCCGGCCUCGGCGCAGGCCAGCGGGAAGACCUUGCCAAUCCCGGUCCAGAUCACACUCCGCUUCAACCUGCCCAAGGAGCGGGAGGCCAUUCCCGGUGGCGAGCCUGACCAGCCGCUCUCCUCCAGCUCCUGCCUGCAGCCCAACCACCGCUCAACGAAACGGAAGGUGGAGGUGGUUUCACCAGCAACUCCAGUGCCCAGCGAGACAGCCCCGGCCUCGGUUUUUCCCC
Molecule: small RNA, 574 nt
Filed under: Pan troglodytes (chimpanzee)
Lineage: Eukaryota; Metazoa; Chordata; Mammalia; Primates; Hominidae
Description: processed transcript
Source: RNAcentral